GUAACGGCGAGUGAAGCGGUAACAGCUCAAAUUUGAAAUCUGGCUCCUCGGGGCCCGAAUUGUAAUUUGUAGAAGAUGCUUUGGGUCUGGGCCUGGCCUAAGUUCCUUGGAACAGGACGUCGUAGAGGGUGAGAAUCCCGUAUGCGGCUGGCGCCCGUGCCCGUGUAAAGCUCUUUCAACGAGUCGAGUUGUUUGGGAAUGCAGCUCUAAAUGGGUGGUAAAUUUCAUCUAAAGCUAAAUAUUGGCCAGAGACCGAUAGCGCACAAGUAGAGUGAUCGAAAGAUGAAAAGCACUUUGGAAAGAGAGUUAAACAGUACGUGAAAUUGUUGAAAGGGAAGCGCUGGCAACCAGACUUGGGCGCUGUUGAUCCGCUAGGGUUCUCUCUAGGGCACUCGGCAGUGCGCAGGCCAGCAUCGGUUUGGGGGGUUGGAGAAUGGCUGGUGGAAUGUGGCUGUCUUUGGGCAGUGUUAUAGCCACCGGUGGCAUGCAGCCUCCCCGGACCGAGGACCGCGCUUCGGCUAGGAUGCUGGCGUAAUGGUUGUCAGCGACCCGUCUUGAAACACGGACCAAGGAGUCUAACAUCUAUGCGAGUGUUUGGGUGUUAAACCCAUACGCGGAAUGAAAGUGAACGUAGGUGAGAACCCGCAAGGGUGCAUCAUCGACCGAUCCUGAUGUCUUCGGAUGGAUUUGAGUAAGAGCAUA
This 702-nucleotide ribosomal RNA is filed under the name Podosphaera xanthii. Its description in RNAcentral is "eukaryotic LSU rRNA". It matches the Rfam family "Eukaryotic large subunit ribosomal RNA", at positions 83 to 804 of the family's 3401-position model. The record is from RNAcentral. Lineage: Eukaryota; Fungi; Ascomycota; Leotiomycetes; Helotiales; Erysiphaceae.